CACGAACCGUACGAACGUUAUUCGGAAUUACUGGGCUUAAAGGGUUUGUAGGCGGCCUUGUAAGUCAGGUGUGAAAGCCCUCGGCUCAACCGAGGAACAGCGCUUGAUACUGCAAGGCUUGAGGGAGACAGGGGUAAGCGGAACUGAUGGUGGAGCGGUGAAAUGCGUUGAUAUCAUCAGGAACACCGGUGGCGAAAGCGGCUUACUGGGUCUCUUCUGACGCUGAGGAACGAAAGCUAGGGUAG
RNAcentral lists this ribosomal RNA (245 nucleotides) under uncultured Pirellula sp. RNAcentral describes it as "partial 16S ribosomal RNA". It matches the Rfam family "Bacterial small subunit ribosomal RNA", at positions 524 to 768 of the family's 1533-position model. Lineage: Bacteria; Pseudomonadati; Planctomycetota; Planctomycetia; Pirellulales; Pirellulaceae. The record is from RNAcentral.